Molecule: long non-coding RNA, 281 nt
Filed under: Gallus gallus (chicken)
Lineage: Eukaryota; Metazoa; Chordata; Aves; Galliformes; Phasianidae
Description: long non-coding RNA NONGGAT003799
Source: RNAcentral
CAAGGUUUACAUAAUGAAGAGUACAGCAGACACCAGCAGGCGUGGAAAACAAACCAGCAGGCACCAGCCUUGCUUCUCCACGCUCCUACAUGUUGCUUUCUUGUGACUACUUAUUUGUGUUCUCCUUUAGAUCUUUAAAAAUAACAAAAGCCCACCAUCUGUCAGAGCAGCAGUACCGGUUCACCUCUGAAGCAAUGAAACCUGGAAGAUUCCUCCAUUGGAGAUUUCCCCAGCUCUACCUAAGCACCAAAAGGAACUGAGGCAAUGUGGCAGAAAACAGG